Molecule: long non-coding RNA, 2555 nt
Organism: Oryctolagus cuniculus (rabbit)
Lineage: Eukaryota; Metazoa; Chordata; Mammalia; Lagomorpha; Leporidae
Source: Ensembl
ACAAGUAAAUGAUCACAUAUACAUAGGCAAGAUAUUAACUUGGUAAAAUAGAGCCACUCAGCUGUUUGAGUAGCCUCAUUGAAGUUUUUAAUGAAGUUCUCUUUCUGUUAUUUUAGAACAUCCCUCAUGUUUGCGGGACGGUAUAGUACGGAAAACAUAGUACACAUGCUUCUUGAACUAGGGGUUGAUGUGCUUUCUGAAGACAUUGCUGGACAUUCUGCUAGGGAUUAUGCUCUUCAAAAACGUAAUAUGCAAAAUUACCAACUCAUUUCGUUGUUUCGAGAAAAUGCUGCACUUGAGAAGAUUGUAAAUAGAAAUCCAGAUGAUGAGCAUUCUAAAGAAUAUAGAAAAAGGCUUUUGGAAAUACCUGAUGUUAAUCAUGAACUGCUUAUAUCAUAUGAGGAAGGCCUCAAUUCAUUUGCCAAGAAAGACUUAAUUCCAGGACAUACAACUGCCAUCAUUCACAGUGCACCAGAAGAGCAACCCAAUAACGACAGAAUAACUCGUGUUCAUGGAGUCCAUGAAGAUAACAAAUGUGGAGCAGAAGAUGAAGCUAAAGAAUCAACUUCAGACCCUGAGGAAGGAACGUCAACUAUAGCGGGUAAGAAGAGUAAAAAAUGUUUUUUCAUCACUCAAGUUGCUCCACAACAGCCAAUUAAUAAACAUGGGCUGGACUCUGAUCACGCAUUGGACAAAGAUAACAAACGUAGUAAGGAGUCUACCUCCCAAAGAGAUCCUGAAGACAACAACUCACCAAGGAAUUCGAAGGAAGGAAUGUCAACCUUAGCGAGUAAGAAGGGCUUAAAAGAUAUCGCCAUCACUCAAGUUGCUCCACAACAGCCAAUUAAUGAAUAUGCGUUCAACUAUGAUCGUGGAUUGGACAAUGGUAACAUGGGUAGUAAGGAGUCUACCUCCCAAAGUGAUCCUGAAGACAACAACUCACCAAGGAAUUCGAAGGCAGGAACGUCAGCUGUAGCGGGUAAGAAGAGUAAAAAACGUUUUUUCAUCGCUCAAGUUGCUCCACAACAGCCAAUUAUGAACUCUGAUCACGGAUUGGACAAAGAUAACAAACGUAGUAAGGAGUCUACCUCCCAAAGAGAUCCUGAAGACAACAACUCACCAAGGAAUUCGAAGGAAGGAAUGUCAACCUUAGCGAGUAAGAAGGGCUUAAAAGAUAUCGCCAUCACUCAAGUUGCUCCACAACAGCCAAUUAAUGAAUAUGCGUUCAACUAUGAUCGUGGAUUGGACAAUGGUAAGGAGUCUACCUCCCAAAGAGAUCCUGAAGACAACAACUCACCAAGGAAUUCGAAGACUAUUUCUACAAAUUCUUGGAAGGAAUCCAUUAAUCAAUCAAUGGCAGCAGAUGCAAAAGGAAAAGAUAUGAAUGAACCACUGGAAGAGUUUGCUAAGGGAUCCACUGAAUUGACGCCUCGUCUGGAAGCAAUACAUCCCUUUUUGGCAACAUCAGUGGGAAUGAAUGAAGUACAAACAUGCAGACAAGUUACAGGCAGAAUCAAGUUAAAACCAAUACCAAAACAUCUCAAGAGGCAUUUCCUUCCUCACUGCAAUACUAAUCAAUAUAAAAGCACAGAACUUGAGUUAAAAAAUGUCAAGUCUUCUCCAACAAAUAAUGACAUUAAAACAGCACCCAAGGAAGAACAAGAAUGGCUUGAUGGAAGUGAAAAUAAGCAGUUUGAAGAAAAAGGGCAGCGUUGCCAAAGUAAGGAAAUGGAAGUGUUAAGAAACUUGCAUGAAAGUGCUGCUCCUCCUGAGGACAGUGAUGGUUGUGGACUGAAUCAGCAGAGACAGAGUGGGGACCUUGACAACCAGCAAUCUGCCACUAAGAAGAGUGAAGAAUAUUAUUCGGAACAGUUAAGAAGAAAAGAAAAGCAAUAUCAUAAAGAAGAAGUGAAACAAGAAGAAGUGACACAUAGAACACUAGAAAUGGAUGUGAGGACUUCAAAAAACAAUUUGACCCAGGUAGAUAUGAAACACCUGCAGCAGCAACAGGAUUACAUUGAGAAAAGGCAAUGUAAAUCAGAGGCAUCGCUGAGAGAUAUGGCACAGUUUUACCUUAAGUUAAACAGCAAGAUGCAGGAUAUAAUGAACAAGUUAGAUGAAAUCGUCAGAAAAGUAUGUAUGAUAUCUAGCAUGUCAAUAAGAAUUCUAGAGCUUAGAGUUUCCAAAUACAAAUAUCAUAAGACCCUGCUUUAUUUGAAUAUGAAAAUCUUGGCACAAUUUUAUCAUUAUGCACUUACUUCUUAAACUCUGAUAUCCACUAUUUAUUGUUAUAUUCUUUAUUAAAAUAAUACUCACUGUUAAAAACUUGAGGAAUAUAUAUCAUUUUUCACAGAAAAUGCACAUUUUUCUCAAUAUUUUCAGUGAUAUCAAUUGUCAUGAUAAAACAAGGCAGAUUGAAUCAGAGGAUAAAAUUUAGCAGAAUUCUCAAAAAAUACAUUUCUUGUUUCACUUAUGUGAAUGGAUACAAAACCUAUGUUUAUUGAUCCUGUGUAUUUCAGAAUAAAUUUUCAAAAUACUUUAUACUAUGCUGAAAU